CAUGCGAGUUCUGUUAUUUGACACCUCUAUCGCCAAAUUGCUGCUAAAACAACUAACAUUACAAGGAGAAGCAAAAACACCUACCACAAUGCAGUAGGCAUGUAGCGAGUGCAUUACUUCUACGCAAACGAAGGUGGACAAAAACAACGGACGCAUUCUCCAUAUUCACACUGCACCACAAACAACUUACAACAAACACAACAGCAUCGCCGCUGUCGUGGAGUUUCUCUACGAACUCACUUAACAUGUGCUCAGCGUCAGUCAAAUGGAAAUCUUCAAUCGCGUUCGGUCAAUGGUCAAAUUGUCAAUAAUGAGCUCGUGUUGUCAACGCGUACGAAAUUAAUAGUAAAAGUGCUUUUUAAAUUAUUUUAUUUGAUUUAAAAUCUUGAGUCGGAAUUGUGCAAAUUAAAUGAAAAGUUUAAUUAAGUGUGAAAAGUUGUAAGUAUUCUAGUAAAAGCAAAAAAAUGUGUGUGAAGUGAAAUAAAAUAGUGUGCAUAGGUAAUGUGGUUUUCUGUGAUAUGUGUUUAUGCUUGUUAAUGGUGUUAAUAACGAAGGGAGUGCAAAUCAAAUAUUCUAUAUCAUUUAUAAAUCGUGAUGUAGUGAAUUAGUGAAAUAAUUUCUUUUUAAAAAUAUUUCUUAAAAUGUGAAGUCGCUGCGUUCGUUUUUUCGGUGUUCGUCUAUAGUCGUUUUCUAAUAAACCAACAACGUCGUUCGCACAAACAAACAAAUAAUAUCGGUGCAGCAGAGUAAUAAAUUUUUUGCUGUAAAACGUAAAGGCUUGGCGAAUUUCGCUCGAAAGGAGAGAAAUCGUUUACAUAAGGAAUUUUACUAAGAUGAGGAUGUUGAUAUGGACGGCCUUUGGUUUCAAGAAGACCACGGUACAUGCCAUGCAGUCAAUUAAAUUAUUGAGAGAAGCUUUUGGUGGGCACAUUAUCUCGUGUCGUGGACCUGUGGAGAUAUGUGACGUCGUGGAGAUUCAUCACGUUAUUGCUGAUAUACGGACCCGAUUGCUGCAAAAAGUGGUCGAAAAUUAGGCCUGUCGACUAAAAUUUGAGACAUCCGCGGAAAACAAUUUCCCAAAAACAUUUUUAAAACCUAAUGGCGAGCAUUAAUCUAGCUUUAUAAUAUAAAGAAAUCGUUUUAAAAAAUCGUUUUUGAAAAUCACAUGUCUCAAAACACACUCUUAUAAGAAAAAUCUAUAAUAAC
Molecule: long non-coding RNA, 1206 nt
Organism: Bactrocera tryoni
Lineage: Eukaryota; Metazoa; Arthropoda; Insecta; Diptera; Tephritidae
Exons: 3
Source: RefSeq, a predicted model, not a curated record